AUAUAUAAACAAAAUCACUCUAAAAUAGUAUAAUCACCCAUCUGAUCUUGGAAGCUAAGCAAGGUUGAGCCUGGUUAGUACUUGGAUAGGAGACCACCUAAGAAGACCAGGUGUUGUAGGCA
Molecule: ribosomal RNA, 122 nt
Filed under: Pteropus alecto (black flying fox)
Lineage: Eukaryota; Metazoa; Chordata; Mammalia; Chiroptera; Pteropodidae
Source: RNAcentral